RNAcentral lists this ribosomal RNA (253 nucleotides) under uncultured bacterium. Its description in RNAcentral is "partial 16S ribosomal RNA". It matches the Rfam family "Bacterial small subunit ribosomal RNA", at positions 524 to 776 of the family's 1533-position model. The record is from RNAcentral.
UACAGAGACUGCAAGCGUUAUUCGGAUUCACUGGGCGUAAAGGGUGCGCAGGCGGUUGGGUGUGUCAGAUGUGAAAUCCCGAGGCUCAACCUCGGAACUGCGUCUGAAACUACUCGACUAGAGUACUGGAGAGGGUAACGGAAUUCACGGUGUAGCAGUGAAAUGCGUAGAUAUCGUGAGGAACACCAGAGGCGAAGGCGGUUACCUGGACAGUUACUGACGCUCAGGCACGAAAGCAUGGGGAGCAAACAGG